RNAcentral lists this ribosomal RNA (499 nucleotides) under uncultured bacterium. Its description in RNAcentral is "partial 16S ribosomal RNA". It matches the Rfam family "Bacterial small subunit ribosomal RNA", at positions 30 to 523 of the family's 1533-position model. The record is from RNAcentral.
AUUGAACGCUGGCGGGAUGCUUUACACAUGCAAGUCGAACGGCAGCACGGACUUCGGUCUGUGGCGAGUGGCGAACGGGUGAGUAAUGUAUCGGAACGUGCCCAGUCGUGGGGGAUAACGUAGUGAAAAUUACGCUAAUACCGCAUACGAUCUAUGGAUGAAAGCGGGGGAUCGCAAGACCUCGCGCGAUUGGAGCGGCCGAUAUCAGAUUAGGUAGUUGGUGGGGUAAAGGCCCACCAAGCCAACGAUCUGUAGCUGGUCUGAGAGGACGACCAGCCACACUGGAACUGAGACACGGUCCAGACUCCUACGGGAGGCAGCAGUGGGGAAUUUUGGACAAUGGGCGAAAGCCUGAUCCAGCCAUUCCGCGUGCAGGAUGAAGGCCCUCGGGUUGUAAACUGCCUUUGUACAGAACGAAAAGUUUUCUACUAAUACUAGGAGCUCAUGACGGUACUGUAAGAAUAAGCACCGGCUAACUACGUGCCAGCCGCCGCCGUAA